CGGGGAGGGUCAUUGGAAACUGGGGAACUUGAGUGCAGAAGAGGAGAGUGGAAUUCCACGUGUAGCGGUGAAAUGCUAUAGAGAUGUGGAGGAACACCAGUGGCGAAGGCGACUCUCUGGUCUGUAACUGACGCUGAGGAGCGAAAGCGUGGGGAGCGAACAGGAUUAGAUACCCUGGUAGUCCACGCCGUAAACGAUGAGUGCUAAGUGUUAGGGGGUUUCCGCCCCUUAGUGCUGCAGCUAACGCAUUAAGCACUCCGCCUGGGGAGUACGGUCGCAAGACUGAAACUCAAAGGAAUUGACGGGGGCCCGCACAAGCGGUGGAGCAUGUGGUUUAAUUCGAAGCAACGCGAAGAACCUUACCAGGUCUUGACAUCCUCUGACAAUCCUAGAGAUAGGACGUCCCCUUCGGGGGCAGAGUGACAGGUGGUGCAUGGUUGUCGUCAGCUCGUGUCGUGAGAUGUUGGGUUAAGUCCCGCAACGAGCGCAACCCUUGAUCUUAGUUGCCAGCAUUCAGUUGGGCACUCUAAGGUGACUGCCGGUGACAAACCGGAGGAAGGUGGGGAUGACGUCAAAUCAUCAUGCCCCUUAUGACCUGGGCUACACACGUGCUACAAUGGACAGAACAAAGGGCAGCGAAACCGCGAGGUUAAGCCAAUCCCACAAAUCUGUUCUCAGUUCGGAUCGCAGUCUGCAACUCGACUGCGUGAAGCUGGAAUCGCUAGUAAUCGCGGAUCAGCA
Molecule: ribosomal RNA, 741 nt
Filed under: Bacillus sp. SKS65
Lineage: Bacteria; Bacillati; Bacillota; Bacilli; Caryophanales; Bacillaceae
Description: bacterial SSU rRNA
Rfam family: Bacterial small subunit ribosomal RNA
Source: RNAcentral